AACCUUAUGGACCUGCGGGCGUAUACCUGCGGAAGGAUCAUUAUGAAUUGAUUUGAGUUUGGUUUCCUCUGUGUUAGGGGGAGCCUCUCAUAUUUAUUCUGUGAACUGGUAUUGUUUUCUUUUUUUUCUUUUGGUUUGACUUGUAGCCUUAUUUGUAUAAAUGGGGUGAAACAAACUAAGAAGAAUCAAACAAUAUGCCUUUUUUUGUUAUCUUAUUUUUUUAUUCCAUAUUUUUUUUUU
RNAcentral lists this unclassified non-coding RNA (240 nucleotides) under soil metagenome. RNAcentral describes it as "partial contains 5.8S ribosomal RNA, internal transcribed spacer 2, and large subunit ribosomal RNA". The record is from RNAcentral.